This 21-nucleotide non-coding RNA is filed under the name Caenorhabditis elegans. Lineage: Eukaryota; Metazoa; Nematoda; Chromadorea; Rhabditida; Rhabditidae. The record is from RNAcentral.
UUUUUGCUCUACGGAGAAUGA